CUCAAACUCUAGAAGACGGAAAUUAAUUCAUGCUAAAAUUGAAGAAAAAUUUAAAUAAAGAGUUAACAUCAAGAAAUUGAAAGAGAUGGGGAGAAGGAAGAACUCAGUGAAUCUGAUCUCCCGAUUUCUUGGAGUGGCUUCCCUCUUUUGAUAGCCAAAAGGGAAGAAAAAGAAUCGAUCCACCUUGGUCCCAGCCUUCUUGGUCAUCCUCUCCUUUUUCCCCCCCUCUAACGCUCCUUUCUUUUUUUUCUUUCAAGCCAUCUUCACCAGGAAAAGAAAGAAUCAAUCCCGAAUUCCCCUCUUCAAUUCGACAGAUUUUUUUAGCCUUGGAUUUUGGGCCGUUUUUCACUUAGAAAAAAUGAGAAUUUCAAAAUCUCUAUUUCAGGAGAAAUCGUAGCACGUUAAAUUAGCUUUCCAGGGCCUCUUGAAUAAGCUCAAUACGACAUCGGAUGAGGGAGAUAUGGUGAAAAUACGAAGGGCAGUACAGAUGUGUUUCCAAUUCGGGAUUUCUUCACAGCAAGAGACUUC
RNAcentral lists this long non-coding RNA (528 nucleotides) under Olea europaea subsp. europaea. Lineage: Eukaryota; Viridiplantae; Streptophyta; Magnoliopsida; Lamiales; Oleaceae. The record is from RNAcentral.